Molecule: long non-coding RNA, 1596 nt
Organism: Hypanus sabinus (Atlantic stingray)
Lineage: Eukaryota; Metazoa; Chordata; Chondrichthyes; Myliobatiformes; Dasyatidae
Exons: 3
Source: RefSeq, a predicted model, not a curated record
UAAUCUGCAGAAUUUAUCUGACAAAGGAUCAUUGAAUGAAAUGUGAACUGUUUCUUCCACCAAAAUUACUGAAGUACUGAGUACUCUACCAUUUUCUAUUUUCAACUUCAUAUAAUUUAUUUAAUGCUCUAAAGACUUUCCAAGCUCAUCUGAAUAAAUUUGAUCGACAAGCUGUUGAAACGUAUGAAAAAUAUCUUAAAUAUUUAUGCUGUUUUCCCAUUGUUUCCACAGUCCUUUCACAGAAGUUACAAUGGAUAAGCAGAGAUUAGCACAGAGCUCUGGUUUUUAUUUAAAAGGCACUUAGAUUGAACAAUCUGUGAUACUACAUUGUACAUUCGAAGUCACAGAGUGCAAGUUUGCCAAAGCCACAAAUAUAUAGUGUUUGAGUAGCAUUUUGCAUUGGAGAUGAAACAAUAUGAAGGACAUUUCACAGCACUUGAGAUACAGCAUGGAUUCGGCCCUUCAGGCCCUUCGAGCUGUGCUGCCUAGCAGCCUCCAGUUUGCCUCUAGCCUAAUCACGGAACAAUUUACAAUGACCAAUUCACCUACCAACUGGUACAUCUUUGGACUGUAGGAGGAGACCGAAGCACCUGGAGAAAACCCAUGCAUUCCACAGGGAGGAAGUACAGAUCCGUUAUAAACGACAUUGGAAGUGACCUCUGAACACCAGUGCUCUGAGCUGUAAUAGUAUUGUGCUAACCAUUUUGCUGCCGUGGCACCCAGUAACACUUCAAGUAUUGCAAUCAACCUCAGUAUUUUGCUUAUGUUUUCUAAACAUGUGGUUGUAUAAAGUCGCAUCCACUGGGAGAACAUUAUGAAAUCCUAUAUACCUGACAGAACUCUGCCUCCGUUCAUGACAAAGCAGAAAAUUAAGCAGCAUUCUCGUGGAUUUUGCCUUGGCUCUCUCAAGAUACAAGGUUCUUUUGAAGACCCUGACUUCGGCUUUUUGUGGAAAUGGGUCCUGCUCUCAGGGCCUCGCGACUGGCUGCUUUUCGAUAUGCCAAGGAUGCAGCCUGGAAGACUAGCGUGCCUUCAGGGUGCCGGAUUUCCAUGGCUCUGGAGAUGGACUGAGUCAAGGCUGGUGCUGCUGCCUGAUGUGUCGUGGGAGUACACAGAAGAUUGAAAACAACGAGCUGGCUGCUGGCUGUGUGCCCUCAAGUUCUUUGGGCACAGAACUCGGAAAAAGAGAUGCAGCAGACUUUCAACACCAUAAUUCAGCGAGUUGUUUGUUAUGUCUCUCCUCUCGCUGUGAAAUAGGCACACCUCUUUUUCCCUUAUUAGGGAGAGAGAGAGAGAGAGAGAGAGAGAGAGAGAGAGAGAGAGAGAGAGAGAGAGAGCCUAUGGUAUGCCAAAUACAAGGUGAACAGGUAGUCUUUGGGGCUCUGUGUCUUUACUGAAGCUUCGCUGACACUUCGGUGCUCAGGUGGGGGGGUAUAGCUUUGCUGCUGCUAAUGCGUGAGGGGAGGCUGGAGAAGGAGGCUUUGGGGUUCUAACAUUUAACUGUCAUUUAUUCUUUGGGACGCUCCUCUGUUUUCGUGGAUGUUUGCAAAGAGUUUCAGGAUGUCUAUUGUAUACAUUUCUCUGACAUUACAUGAC